CCCGAGAGCUUCUCUCUCCUCAUCCUCGCGCGGAAAUCGCCGCCGCCGCCGCACCGCCGCCGGUCGCCGCCGUCGCCGGAAUCCGGAUUUCAACCAAAAUUUCCAGAUUUUCUUCUCUUCCUUCCCUCUUUCCUUUUCUCCAACCAAAAUCAAGAAAUUUAGCCAUUUAGUCCCCAAAAACCCUAGAACCCAAAGCUAAAAUUGGGGCUUUUGUGAUUUCUUCUUUCCAAGCUCAAAUCAAGGCUAUGGGUUUGGCAAGGAUUUUUGGUGAAGAAGGCCAAGGAGAAGGUAUAUGACGUGAUUUUUGAAGGAGAAAGGGAAACAUGAUCGUUAAGGAAGCUUAAGCGGAAAGCAUCAGAGUGUGGAGUACGCCAACAUAUUCCAGGUUACAACGAGGUCAUUCCGGACGAUUUGGAUUAGAGGUGGGUCGUUGGCCGAGUCCGUGUGUUGCUGUUCCUGUUGCUUGAAGUUCUUCCCAUUUGGUACUCUAUCGAUUUACUAGCUUCUCUUUCUAUGUUGAACUCUGUGAGGUCCGCCUACCUGGGAGUGCGCCUCACCCCUUGUUGUAUUGUUAUUGUUGAACUCCCUUUCAUUUCGGUUAUGAUGUAAGCCCUAAGGCGCCACAGUGCACUUGCCACUUUAUUUUUAAGCAUGUCCAGACUUGUUAUUUUAAAUGUUGGGUUGUUGAUUUAAAGUCUUUUCUUAAAAGUUU
Molecule: long non-coding RNA, 712 nt
Organism: Rosa rugosa (rugosa rose)
Lineage: Eukaryota; Viridiplantae; Streptophyta; Magnoliopsida; Rosales; Rosaceae
Exons: 5
Source: RefSeq, a predicted model, not a curated record